Molecule: ribosomal RNA, 652 nt
Filed under: Priestia flexa
Lineage: Bacteria; Bacillati; Bacillota; Bacilli; Caryophanales; Bacillaceae
Description: bacterial SSU rRNA
Rfam family: Bacterial small subunit ribosomal RNA
Source: RNAcentral
GUUUGAUCAUGGCUCAGGAUGAACGCUGGCGGCGUGCCUAAUACAUGCAAGUCGAGCGAACUGAUUAGAAGCUUGCUUCUAUGACGUUAGCGGCGGACGGGUGAGUAACACGUGGGCAACCUGCCUGUAAGACUGGGAUAACUCCGGGAAACCGGAGCUAAUACCGGAUAACAUUUUCUCUUGCAUAAGAGAAAAUUGAAAGAUGGUUUCGGCUAUCACUUACAGAUGGGCCCGCGGUGCAUUAGCUAGUUGGUGAGGUAACGGCUCACCAAGGCAACGAUGCAUAGCCGACCUGAGAGGGUGAUCGGCCACACUGGGACUGAGACACGGCCCAGACUCCUACGGGAGGCAGCAGUAGGGAAUCUUCCGCAAUGGACGAAAGUCUGACGGAGCAACGCCGCGUGAGUGAUGAAGGCUUUCGGGUCGUAAAACUCUGUUGUUAGGGAAGAACAAGUACAAGAGUAACUGCUUGUACCUUGACGGUACCUAACCAGAAAGCCACGGCUAACUACGUGCCAGCAGCCGCGGUAAUACGUAGGUGGCAAGCGUUAUCCGGAAUUAUUGGGCGUAAAGCGCGCGCAGGCGGUUUCUUAAGUCUGAUGUGAAAGCCCACGGCUCAACCGUGGAGGGUCAUUGGAAACUGGGGAACUUG